RNAcentral lists this long non-coding RNA (361 nucleotides) under Elaeis guineensis (African oil palm). Its description in RNAcentral is "long non-coding RNA (EGUI_LNC009621)". Lineage: Eukaryota; Viridiplantae; Streptophyta; Magnoliopsida; Arecales; Arecaceae. The record is from RNAcentral.
CUGCGACUGCGGCUGCUGCUACUGCAUGGCCUGCAUUGCUUCGGUGAGGCCCCUAACCUGCUGAACUAGCAGGUUGACCUGCUCCAUGCCGACUGCCGUUGUCGGAGGAGGAGGAGCCUGAAAAAUUGGAGACGAGGUCGGAGCUGGCGGAUCUUGCUGAGAUCUGGUGAUGGAGGCCAUAGAUCGCCUGGUUGAUGCCUUUCGGGGAGGCAUUAGGUUGGGAUCUGGCCGGAGAAGAAGAAGAAGAUAUCGAAGAAGAUGACCGGAGAUAGUCCUGUUGAGUACUCCUUUAAGAAUAAGGGUCCUGCGAAGACACAGGCCCUUCCUCUAGCGUCAAUUCUGUUGGUGCAGAAUUCCACUG